GUGGCUCAGUGGUAGAGUGCUUGCCUUGAAUGCAUAAGGCCCUGGGUUCGAUUCCUCAGC
This 60-nucleotide transfer RNA is filed under the name Dipodomys ordii (Ord's kangaroo rat). It matches the Rfam family "tRNA", at positions 7 to 64 of the family's 71-position model. From Rfam's summary of the family: Transfer RNA (tRNA) molecules are approximately 80 nucleotides in length. Their secondary structure includes four short double-helical elements and three loops (D, anti-codon, and T loops). Lineage: Eukaryota; Metazoa; Chordata; Mammalia; Rodentia; Heteromyidae. The record is from Rfam by way of RNAcentral.